Molecule: long non-coding RNA, 628 nt
Organism: Glossina fuscipes
Lineage: Eukaryota; Metazoa; Arthropoda; Insecta; Diptera; Glossinidae
Exons: 3
Source: RefSeq, a predicted model, not a curated record
UAAGGAACUUCCGAAGUUUCAAGGAAAAAAUGCUUUGCGUGGAAUGAAAUUUUUUCCACGUAUCCUAAAAAAUUAAAAAUUUUUUUUCUUUGAAAAAUUUACAGUGGUCUACCUAUUAAAAUAAAAAAAAAUUGUAGUAAUAGAAAUAAGGAAAUUUAGCUUGCUUUCACGCGAAUUUUCGAAAACCAUCGGCUCAAGGCAAUUCCUGAGAAACCGAUUACAAUCAUUUUGACGGAGAAUUCUUCAGCGUUGAUAUUGGGAGCGAAUUCAUCAUAAUCAUUAUCAGCAUUUAGAAGCUUGAUCAGCAAGUAAGAGUAUUCUAAUGUAAUGGAUUGAUCCAAAUAUUUAUAAGUAGAAGACAUACCACAAAAUAAGUGCAUAUGAGAUCAAUACAGCAACCGUUCAGGAAAAAAGACUGUUUAGCUUAAAUUUCUCCCACUGGGGGCGAUGCGUACACAAAUGCCCAUUUCAAUGUAUUUCUAAUUGUCACUUUGUUAAAACUACUGUCAGAGAGUCAAAACGAACUGAACAAGUGCCCAGAAAAUUUUGAAAAUAACUUACAAAUAAUUAAGCACAACCAGGAAUAAGACGAUAUCGAAAGAAUGAAAAGUUGGAAAUAAUUUGUAGA